UAAGCAGUGAUGAGCCUUUAACAUAUAAGAGAGAGAGAGAAUCCCUAGUUGGGUUUCCUCAAUGAAAUACAUGUUACGCUUGGCUUCUAAGUUUA
This is a small nucleolar RNA of Lotus japonicus, 95 nucleotides long. RefSeq annotates it as small nucleolar RNA R24. NCBI's taxonomy places the organism in Eukaryota, Viridiplantae, Streptophyta, Magnoliopsida, Fabales, Fabaceae. The transcript has a single exon. The record is from RefSeq and is a predicted model, not a curated record.